This 432-nucleotide ribosomal RNA is filed under the name uncultured Phyllobacteriaceae bacterium. RNAcentral's name for it is "bacterial SSU rRNA". It matches the Rfam family "Bacterial small subunit ribosomal RNA", at positions 28 to 505 of the family's 1533-position model. The record is from RNAcentral. Lineage: Bacteria; Pseudomonadati; Pseudomonadota; Alphaproteobacteria; Hyphomicrobiales; Phyllobacteriaceae.
GAUGAACGCUGGCGGCGUGCCUAACACAUGCAAGUCGAACGCCCUCUUUUAGAGGGAGUGGCAGACGGGUGAGUAACGCGUGGGAAUCUACCCAGCUCUACGGAACAACAGUUAGAAAUGACUGCUAAUACCGUAUACGCCCUCCGGGGGAAAGAUUUAUCGGAGUUGGAUGAGCCCGCGUUUGAUUAGCUAGUUGGUGAGGUAAUGGCUCACCAAGGCGACGAUCAAUAGCUGGUCUGAGAGGAUGAUCAGCCACACUGGGACUGAGACACGGCCCAGACUCCUACGGGAGGCAGCAGUGGGGAAUAUUGGACAAUGGGCGCAAGCCUGAUCCAGCCAUGCCGCGUGUGUGAUGAAGGCCCUAGGGUUGUAAAGCACUUUCAACGGUGAAGAUAAUGACGGUAACCGUAGAAGAAGCUCCGGCUAACUUCG